UACGUAGGGUGCGAGCGUUACUCGGAUUUACUGGGCGUAAAGCGUGCGCAGGCGGUUAUGUAAGACCGAUGUGAAAUCCCCGGGCUUAACCUGGGAACUGCAUUGGUGACUGCAUCGCUCGAGUAUGGCAGAGGGGGGUAGAAUUCCACGUGUAGCAGUGAAAUGCGUAGAGAUGUGGAGGAAUACCGAUGGCGAAGGCAGCCCCCUGGGUCAAUACUGACGCUCACGCACGAAAGCGUGGGGAGCAAACAGG
RNAcentral lists this ribosomal RNA (253 nucleotides) under uncultured bacterium. RNAcentral's name for it is "partial 16S ribosomal RNA". It matches the Rfam family "Bacterial small subunit ribosomal RNA", at positions 524 to 776 of the family's 1533-position model. The record is from RNAcentral.